AGAGUUUGAUCCUGGCUCAGAGUGAACGCUGGCGGCGUGCCUAAUACAUGCAAGUCGAACGGACAAGUAAGAGCUUGCUCUUAUGAGUUAGUGGCGCACGGGUGAGUAAUGUAUAGUUAAUCUGCCCUACACUGGAGGACAACAGUUAGAAAUGACUGCUAAUACUCCAUACUCCUUCUUAACACAAGUUAAGUCGGGAAAGUUUUUUCGGUGUAGGAUGAGACUAUAUUGUAUCAGCUAGUUGGUGAGGUAAUGGCUCACCAAGGCUAUGACGCAUAACUGGUCUGAGAGGAUGAUCAGUCACACUGGAACUGAGACACGGUCCAGACUCCUACGGGAGGCAGCAGUAGGGAAUAUUGCUCAAUGGGGGAAACCCUGAAGCAGCAACGCCGCGUGGAGGAUGACACUUUUCGGAGCGUAAACUCCUUUUGUUAGGGAAGAACAAUGACGGUACCUAACGAAUAAGCACCGGCUAACUCCGUGCCAGCAGCCGCGGUAAUACGGAGGGUGCAAGCGUUACUCGGAAUCACUGGGCGUAAAGGACGCGUAGGCGGAUUAUCAAGUCUUUUGUGAAAUCUAAUGGCUCAACCAUUAAACUGCUUGAGAAACUGAUAAUCUAGAGUGAGGGAGAGGCAGAUGGAAUUGGUGGUGUAGGGGUAAAAUCCGUAGAGAUCACCAGGAAUACCCAUUGCGAAGGCGAUCUGCUGGAACUUAACUGACGCUAAUGCGUGAAAGCGUGGGGAGCAAACAGGAUUAGAUACCCUGGUAGUCCACGCCUUAAACGAUGUAUACUAGUUGUUGCUGUGCUAGUCAUGGCAGUAAAUGCACCUAACGGAUUAAGUAUACCGCCUGGGGAGUACGGUCGCAAGAUUAAAACUCAAAGGAAUAGACGGGGACCCGCACAAGCGGUGGAGCAUGUGGUUUAAUUCGAAGAUACGCGAAGAACCUUACCUGGGCUUGAUAUCCUAAGAACCUUGUAGAGAUACGAGGGUGCUAGCUUGCUAGAACUUAGUGACAGGUGCUGCACGGCUGUCGUCAGCUCGUGUCGUGAGAUGUUCGGUUAAGUCCGGCAACGAGCGCAACCCACGUAUUUAGUUGCUAACAGUUCGGCUGAGCACUCUAAAUAUACUGCCUUCGUAAGGAGGAGGAAGGUGAGGACGACGUCAAGUCAUCAUGGCCCUUAUGCCCAGGGCGACACACGUGCUACAAUGGCAUAUACAAUGAGACGCAAUAUCGCGAGAUGGAGCAAAUCUAUAAAAUAUGUCCCAGUUCGGAUUGUUCUCUGCAACUCGAGAGCAUGAAGCCGGAAUCGCUAGUAAUCGUAGAUCAGCCAUGCUACGGUGAAUACGUUCCCGGGUCUUGCACACACC
Molecule: ribosomal RNA, 1370 nt
Filed under: uncultured bacterium
Lineage: Bacteria
Description: 16S ribosomal RNA
Rfam family: Bacterial small subunit ribosomal RNA
Source: RNAcentral